This 771-nucleotide long non-coding RNA is filed under the name Salvia miltiorrhiza (redroot sage). RNAcentral's name for it is "long non-coding RNA (SMIL_LNC014308)". The record is from RNAcentral. Lineage: Eukaryota; Viridiplantae; Streptophyta; Magnoliopsida; Lamiales; Lamiaceae.
UCUAUUUAAAAUAUAAUGAAAACAGAGCUCAGUACAACAUAUUUGUAAAACCUAGACUUCAUCUCCAAACUAGCGUUUAAUAUAUUUAAGAUUCGUGUGCCUUGAUUUUUGAUGAAGUGAUGCAAACUCCAACAUUAAAUCUACACACACAAAAAGUUGCAUCUACCAAAUUUUUCUAUUUUUCUUGAUAAACAAGUUGCGUCCAUAUCUCCCUUUCCACAAUCAGCAUCACCUCUUUCCUCGAACACCUACUCUAGUGUCAGCGACUUACACGCAGCGCCAAGGUAAUUACCUUCACUUUUACGAGGAAAGAGAGCGAGAGAAAGAGAGAUUGUAGAUCUGCAGCACAACACGAGAUUCAAGCAUAUCUGCAGGCGGAGAAGCUAGGUGACGCGACGGCACAGCACAACACCAUACUCGGACGAGAAGUUUCCGUAGGAAUCGGAGGAAACCGUCACCGACUCAGUCUCCGACAGCUUCUGCAGCGUGGAGACGACGAGGUUGGGGCGGCGGUGCUUCGCCGGCGAUCUGAGCUCGAAGGAUGCGGAGUGGAAGAGAGCGGUACACCAGUCCGUCACCGGAGGAGAGAAAGUAGGAGGGAGGGUGAGAGAGAGAGCGUAGAGAGAGAAGGCUAGAGAGAGACAUAUUUAGUGUAGCUAAUUUUUUUAAUUUUAAGGGUAGGGUAUUUUUGACUUUUUACUCAAAAACUGGCCAUUUUUUAAUAUUUUUAUCUCAUAGGCUAGAUUUUAAUUUUACAAUAUGAAAGUGGAC